Molecule: ribosomal RNA, 416 nt
Filed under: uncultured bacterium
Lineage: Bacteria
Description: bacterial SSU rRNA
Rfam family: Bacterial small subunit ribosomal RNA
Source: RNAcentral
UAUUGGUCAAUGGGCGAGAGCCUGAACCAGCCAAGUCGCGUGAGGGACGACUGCCCUAUGGGUUGUAAACCUCUUUUGUAGGGGGGGAAUAAGCUUUACGAGUAGAUUGAUGACAGUACCAUACGAAUAAGCAUCGGCUAACUCCGUGACAGCAGCCGCGGUAAUACGGAGGAUGCGAGAGUUAUCCGGAUUAAUUGGGUUUAAAGGGUGCGUAGGCGGCAUUAUAAGUUAGUGGUAAAAUAUUGGGGCUUCACCUCACUGCGCCAUUAAUACUGUAGAGCUAGAGAACAGACGAGGUAGGCGGAAUAAGUUAAGUAGCGGUGAAAUGCAUAGAUAUAACUUAGAACACCGAUAGCGAAGGCAGCUUACCAGACUGAGUCUGACGCUGAUGCACGAGGGCAUGGGUAGCGAACAGG